Molecule: ribosomal RNA, 488 nt
Filed under: Streptococcus mutans
Lineage: Bacteria; Bacillati; Bacillota; Bacilli; Lactobacillales; Streptococcaceae
Description: bacterial SSU rRNA
Rfam family: Bacterial small subunit ribosomal RNA
Source: RNAcentral
GACGAACGCUGGCGGCGUGCCUAAUACAUGCAAGUGGGACGCAAGGGAACACACUGUGCUUGCACACCGUGUUUUCUUGAGUCGCGAACGGGUGAGUAACGCGUAGGUAACCUGCCUAUUAGCGGGGAUAACUAUUGGAAACGAUAGCUAAUACCGCAUAAUAUUAAUUAUUGCAUGAUAAUUGAUUGAAAGAUGCAAGCGCAUCACUAGUAGAUGGACCUGCGUUGUAUUAGCUAGUUGGUAAGGUAAGAGCUUACCAAGGCGACGAUACAUAGCCGACCUGAGAGGGUGAUCGGCCACACUGGGACUGAGACACGGCCCAGACUCCUACGGGAGGCAGCAGUAGGGAAUCUUCGGCAAUGGACGAAAGUCUGACCGAGCAACGCCGCGUGAGUGAAGAAGGUUUUCGGAUCGUAAAGCUCUGUUGUAAGUCAAGAACGUGUGUGAGAGUGGAAAGUUCACACAGUGACGGAGCUACCAGAAAGGAC